AACCGGAUUAGAUACCCUGGUAGUCCACGCUGUAAACGAUGAAGACUAGAUGUUGGGCAGCUUAGACUGUUCAGUAUCGAAGCUAACGCGAUAAGUCUUCCGCCUGGGGAGUACGGCCGCAAGAUUAAAACUCAAAGAAAUUGACGGGGGCCCGCACAAGCGGUGGAGCAUGUGGUUUAAUUCGAUGCAACGCGAAGAACCUUACCUACCCUUGACAUCCAAAGAAUUUUGCAGAGAUGUGAAAGUGCCGAAAGGAACUUUGAGACAGGUGCUGCAUGGCUGUCGUCAGCUCGUGUUGUGAGAUGUUGGGUUAAGUCCCGUAACGAGCGCAACCCUUAUCCUUAGUUGCCAGCAUUUAGUUGGGGACUCUAAGGAGACUGCCGGUGAUGAACCGGAGGAAGGCGGGGACGACGUCAAGUCAUCAUGGCCUUUAUGGGUAGGGCUACACACGUGCUACAAUGGGCGGUACAGAGGGCAGCGAAAGCGCGAGCUGGAGCCAAUCCCGAAAAGCCGUUCAUAGUCCGGAUCGGAGUCUGCAACUCGACUCCGUGAAGUCGGAAUCGCUAGUAAUCGCGAAUCAGAAUGUCGCGGUGAAUACGUUCCCGGGCCUUGUACACACCGCCCGUCACACCAUGGGAGUGGGUUGUACCAGAAGUAGGUAGUUUAACCGCAAGGGGAACGCUUACCACGGUAUGGUUCAUGACUGGGGUGAAGUCGUAACAAGGUAACCGUA
RNAcentral lists this ribosomal RNA (733 nucleotides) under uncultured endophytic bacterium. RNAcentral's name for it is "bacterial SSU rRNA". It matches the Rfam family "Bacterial small subunit ribosomal RNA", at positions 771 to 1504 of the family's 1533-position model. The record is from RNAcentral.